Molecule: transfer RNA, 25 nt
Filed under: Pellorneum malaccense (short-tailed babbler)
Lineage: Eukaryota; Metazoa; Chordata; Aves; Passeriformes; Pellorneidae
Description: Trichastoma malaccense (short-tailed babbler) partial tRNA-Thr
Source: RNAcentral
UCAACUCUAAUAGUUUAUGAAAACA